This 360-nucleotide long non-coding RNA is filed under the name Linum usitatissimum (flax). RNAcentral describes it as "long non-coding RNA (LUSI_LNC001265)". Lineage: Eukaryota; Viridiplantae; Streptophyta; Magnoliopsida; Malpighiales; Linaceae. The record is from RNAcentral.
UUUCUUCGUCCAAGGGGUGGAGAUGGGUCCGUUUACGGGGAUUGGGUUUCCGCAGCAGGGGAUACUGUCGCCUGGACCGGCGUUGUUGCCGCCGGUGCCGCCGAGCUUCUUCUCUCCUCAGAGUCGACGACGGAUCCGAGCUCGGUCGGGUAUUUCCACGAUUUCAGCCCAGGAGGGCUCCACAGCAGCAGAAAUUUCAUGGAUGGUACGGGACUAUUGCCGAGCCCCGGUAAUUUCUUCGCAGGAUUCUCGCCUCGGUUGUUGAACUCGCCGUUCCCGUCGGUAGAUCUGUUCAACAAUUUCAACUCCGGCAACUUUGACUUCUGAUUGGCAGAUUUGAAUAUUCUUUUAUUUGUUUUU